Long non-coding RNA from Syzygium oleosum, 503 nucleotides. RefSeq lists it as uncharacterized. The record is from RefSeq and is a predicted model, not a curated record. Lineage: Eukaryota; Viridiplantae; Streptophyta; Magnoliopsida; Myrtales; Myrtaceae. The transcript has 3 exons.
GUAAUACUCACAUAACAAUGAUUACCCUGAGAUUUGUCGAUACUAUAAGGCGAUAUAUGAGAUUCCAUCAGUGAAGGGCAACCCAGAGCAGUGGAUGCCGGUUCUAAGGAAAAUCCGCCGGUACUUAAUUCUAUCACCACAUGAUCCUAUGCAGUCAAGCCUUCUUAAUGCCACUUUAGAGGAUAAACAUCUCUCAGAAAUUCCCCAAUUCAGGUUGCUGCUGAAAUAAUUGGUCACGGCGGAGGUUAUCCCAGGGCCUUCUCUUUAAAGUACUUUCAAAGAUGAAUUUGCCAAUGAGAAAACAUGCUAGGAGGUGCACUUGUUGAGAAGGCAGCAGAAAAUCUUAGACAGGGCCGAAUCAUAGUCAAAAGAAGAAUUUUGGCUUCACCUGGGCGAGACAAGCUACCUUUAGCUGGGAGCCUCUUCAGAGAAUCAUUGAACAUGUAAUUACAGAACUUUGUCGUUUUUCUUCUUUUCAUUGGAUCAUCAUUCAGAUGGGACUC